CUUCAGUGUAGAAGGGCUGUCAUCGUAACGUAUGUGAGUCCAGCCGGGGUCCCUCUGUUAAUAAUCUUUCUAUCAGUGAAAAGCAGCAGCCCAAGUGUCUCGUGUCCCUGAUGCAGGCCACAAGUAUGUAUUCAUAUAUAUAGUACAUGAUGGGGAAAGGAAAUUUAUCUGUUCGGCAGGUCGUAUUUCCACCGCCUGGCUGAUACUUCAGUUUCAGAGGGUGGAACACAUUUUUGUAGUAAUUAAAAAGUGGGAGUGCAGUUUGUGUGACCCUUUGAAUGGAAGUACUUGUACUUCACACCGUGUAAAAUACCGGGGUGCCUUAUCCMCCAKGAAUCACUAGCUAAGGAAUGUGUGUAUGGACUUCCUUCACUGCACACGAAAAUGCUGGAAUGGAUAUGCUCUCAGAGGCUGUACUGCCUGGGCAGGUAUCACUUUUCCUCCUUACAGCUGGUAACCAGCAUGUCCUAAUUUACACUGCUACAGUUAAAGUUACAGCAUCCUGGGAAAGAAGGAAAAAUGCAAGCCCUCCCCCCCCCCCAUCUUUUGAAGUUAAUUUUUAUUCAAGUCUGUGUGCUUGAUGGAAUAUGUAUCAAAGACUUAUGAAAGGAUUUUAAAAAGAAACACACACCUAUCUCUGGGUUUGGAAAAUUAUAUUUAAUCAUCGCUAAAAACUUCGGAACCACUUUUAAGGUGUUCAGGGUUUCUUUUGAUCAUGAUUUAAUGGAGCGUAGCCAGAAGCCAUCAAUGCAAUUCUAAUGAUCUUCCCAAAUUAACGUUUGGGCUUCAUCUGGAGUUUGCUUUUAGCCAGCAUUAUUAGUGUUUCAAGCCUAAAUUAUGGCUGCACUUGGGCCUUCAGGACCUCACCAGUGAAAAGAAGGGCUUUGCACAUUGUGCAAAAAAAAAAAAAAAAAAAAAAAACCCACAAAAAAACAAAAAAAACCGGGAUUCACAAAUGAAUACAGAAUGUACAAUAGGGAGAGAGCCAGGCCAUUGUUUGUGUGGAAUGUUGACAAUGGGAGCCGAGGGGCAGUUUCGCCUUCAUUCUUCUAACUGCUCGAGAACACAGAAACUUCAGGAGCUUCGGACAGGAUGGGAACCAGUCAACAAUCAUCGGUCUYUGCCAGGCAUGGAAAUCGGGGCUGCCGGCCUGCUCCCUCGCCAGAGUGUUUCUUAGAAGGCGGUCUUUUCUGGACUGCUCGGGAACUCGGUGUGCUUUUUCUCCGCUGUGAGCUGCUUUUUUGAAGAAAGCUCCUACAAGCAGAUAGUAGGGUUCUUCAAAGAAAGUGUUAAAAAAACCAAAAAAACAACCCAGCAAACGCUUCUUCCCUUGAAAUGCAGUCUUAGGAAAUCAUAUUCAAAGCUUGCCAGAAAUCGAGGCAUCCGAAGUCACAGGAAGCAGUUGUGUUUAUUUUUAUUGCUCUCCUCACAUUAAAGUAGUUUUUAAUCUGUGUGUGGUGUUAGGGAAAGUGCAGCUAAAAUGAGUAUUUGUGGGGUUUUUGUAUUUUGUUGCACAGCUGCUGCCAUUUCUGAAAAAGCUCCCGGGUACCGCAUCUUGCACCUCCAUUCCCAAAGUUCUGCCUCCACGUGGGGGCUGAGGGUCCAGAGUGGCGCCCACUCUGAUGCUAAGGUGGCCGUCAGGCUCGAGAACUUUUUCACCCUUCCU
This 1666-nucleotide small RNA is filed under the name Sus scrofa (pig). RNAcentral describes it as "sTF30418". Lineage: Eukaryota; Metazoa; Chordata; Mammalia; Artiodactyla; Suidae. The record is from RNAcentral.